UGAGGGACACAUCAGGCAACCUACCAAUCCAAUAUGCCAAGGAUGAAGUGGUCAAACAGAUGAUUUUGUCGAGAUUACCUUCUUCAGAGGAGAUCCAGUCUUAUCGAGAUGAACCAUCAACUCCUUCCAUCGUCUCUAUUGAAGUCGAAAUG
Molecule: long non-coding RNA, 152 nt
Organism: Strongylocentrotus purpuratus (purple sea urchin)
Lineage: Eukaryota; Metazoa; Echinodermata; Echinoidea; Camarodonta; Strongylocentrotidae
Exons: 3
Source: RefSeq, a predicted model, not a curated record